This 299-nucleotide signal recognition particle RNA is filed under the name Macaca mulatta (Rhesus monkey). RNAcentral describes it as "7SLa scRNA". It matches the Rfam family "Metazoan signal recognition particle RNA". From Rfam's summary of the family: The signal recognition particle (SRP) is a universally conserved ribonucleoprotein. It is involved in the co-translational targeting of proteins to membranes. The eukaryotic SRP consists of a 300-nucleotide 7S RNA and six proteins: SRPs 72, 68, 54, 19, 14, and 9. The record is from RNAcentral. Lineage: Eukaryota; Metazoa; Chordata; Mammalia; Primates; Cercopithecidae.
GCCGGGCGCGGUGGCGCGUGCCUGUAGUCCCAGCUACUAGGGAGGCUGAGGUGGGAGGAUCGCUUGAGCCCAGGAGUUCUGGGCUGUAGUGCGCUAUGCCGAUCGGGUGUCCGCACUAAGUUCGGCAUCAAUAUGGUGACCUCCCGGGAGCGGGGGACCACCAGGUUGCCUAAGGAGGGUGAACCGGCCCAGGUCGGAAACGGAGCAGGUCAAAACUCCCGUGCUGAUCAGUAGUGGGAUCGCGCCUGUGAAUAGCCACUGCACUCCAGCCUGGGCAAUAUAGCGAGACCCUGUCUCUA